UCCCGCAACGAGCGCAACCCUCGUCCUUAAUUGCCAUCAUUUAGUUGGGCACUCUAAGGAAACCGCCGGUGAUAAGCCGGAGGAAGGUGGGGAUGACGUCAAGUCCUCAUGGCCCUUACAGGCUGGGCUACACACGUGCUACAAUGGCGGUGACAGUGGGCAGCAAACUCGCGAGGGUGAGCUAAUCUCCAAAAGCCGUCUCAGUUCGGAUUGUUCUCUGCAACUCGAGAGCAUGAAGGCGGAAUCGCUAGUAAUCGCGGAUCAGCAUGCCGCGGUGAAUACGUUCCCAGGCCUUGUACACACCGCCCGUCACACCAUGGGAGUUGGAUUCACUCGAAGGCGUUGAGCUAACCCGCAAGGGAGGCAGGCGACCACAGUGGGUUUAGCGACUGGGGUGAAGUC
Molecule: ribosomal RNA, 402 nt
Filed under: uncultured bacterium
Lineage: Bacteria
Description: bacterial SSU rRNA
Rfam family: Bacterial small subunit ribosomal RNA
Source: RNAcentral